CUAUAAAAACUUCACAUCAGUCUGUCAGUGGAGUUCACAGCACGUCAGUUUCACCAUCAACCAUGUUUUCUGUAGCUCUGCUGCUGCUGUUGGCAGCUGGAUCCUGUGUGAAUUGUGAACAGUUGACACAGCCAGCCUCUGUGACUGUGCAGCCAGGUCAACAUCUGACCAUCACCUGUCAGGUCUCUUAUUCUGUUAGCAGCUACUGGACAGCUUGGAUCAGACAGCCUGCAGGGAAAGAACUCGAGUGGAUUGGACAUGCAUCAGCUGGAUCCACCACACGCUACAAAGAUUCACUAAAGAACAAGUUCAGUAUCACCACAGACUCUUCCAGCAACACAGUGACUCUCAAUGGACAGAAUGUGCAACCUGAAGACACUGCUGUGUAUUACUGUGCCAGAUACACACAACAACACAAACCAUCUAUAGACCUGAACAAAAACCCCUCAGUGUCUGAACACUUGUAACAUGAAGCCACCAGAGGAGGAGCCCUCAGACCACUAAUGACCUAGACCACCUAGUUCAGUGCAACGGAGAAAAACAGUCUUUGAACAUAUUUAGCAGUGGAGAUAUUAAAUGAAUGUAAAUAAUACAAUUGAGGCAUUUUCCAAAAACAAUGUUUAUAUGUAUGAAUAUGAAUUAAUAACAGCAUCAUGUAAGCUGAUAAGUACACUUAUACCUAUGUGAUUAAUGCAUUAUGCAGCUUCUCUUCAUUCCUAGUUUGACCAACACAAUGUCAUUAAGUGAAUUAGUCAAUUAAUACACUCUUUAUACUCGCCAUAAUAAUAAUCAGAUUAGCUUUACCGUGUGUUGCCUUAUAAGGAAGUGAAGUGUGUGUGUGUCAGUGAGAGGACAGAAGAGCUCACAUCAGUUCAGCUUCACCAUCAACCAUGUUCUCUGUAGCUCUGAUACUGAAUCCUGUGAGGACCAGAUUAUUAUUUAAUGAGUUGCAUAUACCUUACAUAAGAAUUGUGCCAUUAAAUUCUAGAUGUCCUUUCCAACAGCCAGUAAAUGUUUUUCACUCAUGUGUAUGACAAUAACCAUUAACUGAGACAGGAAAAAAAAUAAAAUAAAAAAAUGAGAGAGGAUGACAAUCGUUUUCACUUGACUGAGGGUAACAGAAUUUUCUCAUUGUUGUUUUAUUGACUGAAAAA
Molecule: non-coding RNA, 1154 nt
Organism: Lates calcarifer (barramundi perch)
Lineage: Eukaryota; Metazoa; Chordata; Actinopteri; Centropomidae
Source: the annotation of a RefSeq genome assembly